UACAGAGGGUGCGAGCGUUAAUCGGAUUUACUGGGCGUAAAGGGCGCGUAGGCGGUUGUGAGAGUGUGAUCGUGAAAGCCCCGGGCUUAACCUGGGAAGUGCAUCGCAAACGGUCAUGACUGGAGUAUAAGAGAGGGUGGCGGAAUUUCCGGUGUAGCGGUGAAAUGCGUAGAGAUCGGAAGGAACGUCAAUGGCGAAGGCAGCCACCUGGCUUAAUACGUGACGCUGAGGCGCGAAAGCGU
RNAcentral lists this ribosomal RNA (242 nucleotides) under uncultured bacterium. Its description in RNAcentral is "partial 16S ribosomal RNA". It matches the Rfam family "Bacterial small subunit ribosomal RNA", at positions 524 to 762 of the family's 1533-position model. The record is from RNAcentral.